GAUGAACGCUGGCGGCGUGCCUAACACAUGCAAGUCGAACGGAAAGGCCCUGCGUUUGUGGGGUGCUCGAGUGGCGAACGGGUGAGUAACACGCGAGUAACAUGCCCUUGACUUUGGGAGAACUUCACGAAACUGGGGCUAAUAUCGGAGAGGAGCUCCUGCUGCAUGGGGGGGGUUGGAAAGUUUCGGCGGUUGGGGAUGGAAUAGCGGCUUACCGGCUAGUUGGUGGGGUAGUGGCUUACCAAGGCUUUGACGGGUAGGCGGCCUUGGAGGGUGGCCGGCCACCUGGGGCCUGCGGUACGGCGCAGUCUGCUACGGGCGGCAAUGGUGGGAAGUAUUGCACAGUGGGCGCGCGCCUGUUGCGGCGGCGCCGCGUUCGGGAUGCCGUCCUUCGGGUUAUGAACCGCUUUCGCCUGUGCCGAGGCGGUCUUGACGGUACCGAGUCAGAAAGCCCCGGCUAACUACGUG
RNAcentral lists this ribosomal RNA (468 nucleotides) under uncultured bacterium. RNAcentral's name for it is "partial 16S ribosomal RNA". It matches the Rfam family "Bacterial small subunit ribosomal RNA", at positions 28 to 507 of the family's 1533-position model. The record is from RNAcentral.